GUGGGAAACAACGAAAAGUGACGUGGCGCAGCUAGGAGUGUGCACCGUACGCAAAACACAAAAAAUAACGGGAGGUGAAAUGUAGGAGAUAUUCGGAAAAACAGAAGUUGACACUAGCCAAGCCCGGGGCUCCGGAUUCCUUCACGCAUCUCUCACACUCUUCUCUGUUUCUUCACACUUUCCUCUCCUUCCUUCUGCUAACUAACUCCUCUCUGAAUCAAAAAAUAUUCUUAGACUUGUAACGGAUUGAUCGAUUGACGGCGGCGACGGCGGCAAUAUAUGGAGUCGGAUUCUGUUCUCUUUCUGAUAAUUUGUCGACGAUGAAACUGAUUUAACGACGUAGUAAUGGUAGUAUCAUCGGUGUGAGAAGCAGUUGUUCUGGGAGAGAAGCAGUUGAUCGUGUCAGUAUUGGCCUUGGUGGCCGGGCGGAUGAGGUGGUUUUCGAAGCAAUAGUAAAGGAUUCUAAUAGCCCUUUGCAUAACAUUAAAGUUGUGCUUAGGAAACUUGUCAGUACUCAAGCAAAACGUAGAGGAAUGCGAGCAAUAGAGUGUUUUUAGGUGUUGAAGAAGCUGGUUCGCCGUGAACUUAUGUACCAUUCUUAUUCGAUGCAAGUUAUGGUUAUACUUCACCUUCUAGUGGCCGUGGUUCGUUUACUCUGGUACAUGGGUAUCAUGGUAGUUUUUCUUUGAGACAUUGGCUUCAACAAUCAGAUUGGAUUCCUACCUUGGAAGCUAAUCUUGCAUUGGAUGAGGAAUCUGUCAGGAGGGUGGGAGAUGACACCGUUGGAGGACUUGCUGUCUCUCGGCAGUUGCAAAUAACACGCAUAUUGAUGAGGGAUCUCUUGAUUGGAGUAUCAAUCAUGGACUUUCGGAUACAGAGUUGAGGCUGGAGAAUGUGCAUAUAAGCCCAGUGGAUGGGCAUAUUAAAGUAAAUGCAAGCUUUCCCCCCUCUUAUGCUGUUUUUUUUUUUUUUAGAUUCUCUGAAUUUAGAAUUAAAUUUGAUAUAUAUAGAAUAAGGAAAGAAAUUCUUUAAGGAGAAGGUGUUUGAGGAAAACUCUUGUUGAUUUGUGCUUUCUGAUAAGACAACACUUGAUGCACAACAAUUUCAGUUUAUCUAUUGAAGUCAAAUUUUAUUUCUGGUAUUCUGCUUUGAAAGUUUGCUAUCUCUUCAACAGCAUUGAAUAAUGGGAAAUUUUUUUGGUUCUAGACUUAUGGUUGAGGAAAGGUUUAUUAGCACAAAUAUUGAGGAACGAAACAAGACAUGAAUAAAUCAGCACCAUUGAAUUAGUGCACCUCCCACACAUGAUUGCAUUUGACAUGAGGUAUGAAUAGAUAGAUAGACCUAAUAGUGUAUCCAGUUAGCGCUGCUAGCAGAGCUACUGAUGUACUGAAUUCUGUUUCAUCCAUGUUGAAAAGAUGUGUAGGAUCUAUGAUGGCAAAAAUGGUGCUGCGGGAACUCAUGGAUCCAUUAAUUUUCAUGAAGUUCAAAUCAUUCCUCAUGAUGGUACAACAUGCUAGUCCCAUCCCCCCACCCCUUUUUUUUUUGGAUUAAUCAAUCCAGAACCUGGUGGAAUUUUUGUUGACUUGCAUUAUGUCUCUGGAUAAGCUCAAGUUUCUCUUCAUUAAUUUCUACCAGUUUCUUGAAGACUGGAAUGCAUUGGCAGCCGCUUUAUUUGCUCAAUAUGAAAAAAAAUCUAUAGUAUCAUCAUGCACUACUCAUCAUGUGUUGGUACUGAUCCUAAUUACGAAGUUGUACCUUCAUGCUUGCGUGAGUUAGGAAUUCUCCUUCUGGAAAUGUUGGACUCCAAGGAGUACGAAUGCAAAUUACCAUACUUUAAGCUACACCUUUCACAAUAUCUAUAAAGAUUGUUUUUUAUAAGUAAAAGCCACAUGAAUUAUUAGGAUGUUUAAGUUCGUUUUGUAGAUACUUGAUCGGAACUGGGGUGCUGGUUGGAACCUUUUAUCCUUGUUAUUGGCAGCCAAACCUUCGUAAAGAAUAAGUUGUUUGGAUGCCCUCAGGCAUCCAUUUCUGUGUCGACCAAGAUGGCGGGU
This is a long non-coding RNA of Populus nigra (black poplar), 2051 nucleotides long. RefSeq lists it as uncharacterized. The record is from RefSeq and is a predicted model, not a curated record. NCBI's taxonomy places the organism in Eukaryota, Viridiplantae, Streptophyta, Magnoliopsida, Malpighiales, Salicaceae. The transcript has 7 exons.